This 247-nucleotide ribosomal RNA is filed under the name uncultured bacterium. RNAcentral's name for it is "partial 16S ribosomal RNA". It matches the Rfam family "Bacterial small subunit ribosomal RNA", at positions 523 to 769 of the family's 1533-position model. The record is from RNAcentral.
AUACGAAGGUGCAAGCGUUAAUCGGAAUUACUGGGCGUAAAGCGUGCGUAGGCGGUUUGUUAAGUCAGAUGUGAAAGCCCCGGGCUCAACCUGGGAACUGCAUUUGAUACUGGCAGGCUAGAGUACGGUAGAGGGUGGUGGAAUUCCCGGUGUAGCGGUGAAAUGCGUAGAGAUCGGGAGGAACAUCCGUGGCGAAGACCGGCCACCUGGACCAGUACUGACGCUGAGGCACGAAAGCGUGGGGAGC